GAUGAAGAACGUAGCGAAAUGCGAUACGUAAUGUGAAUUGCAGAAUUCAGUGAAUCAUCGAGUCUUUGAACGCACAUUGCGCCCCCUGGUAUUCCGGGGGGCAUGCCUGUCCGAGCGUCAUUGCUGCCCUCAAGCACGGCUUGUGUGUUGGGCCUCCGUCCUCCUCCCGGGGGACGGGCCCGAAAGGCAGCGGCGGCACCGCGUCCGGUCCUCGAGCGUAUGGGGCUUCGUCACCCGCUCUUGUAGGCCNNGCCGGCGCUUGCCGACACAUCAAUCUUUUUUCCAGGUUGACCUCGGAUCAGGUAGGGAUACCCGCUGAACUUAAGCAUAUCAAUAAGCGGAGGA
RNAcentral lists this unclassified non-coding RNA (345 nucleotides) under soil metagenome. Its description in RNAcentral is "partial contains 5.8S ribosomal RNA, internal transcribed spacer 2, and large subunit ribosomal RNA". The stretch from base 1 to 120 matches the Rfam family "5.8S ribosomal RNA", at positions 35 to 154 of the family's 154-position model. The record is from RNAcentral.